AUAACGACAAUGUACGAAUUGGCGAAACUUACACACUAAUUACAAGUAAUCGUUUCACUUAUAGUCACAAAAACACAGAAAAUCAACUAACAAUCGUGUAGAUUAGGGUUAUAAUGCGUUACCCUCGCUGCUGUUGUUACCAAUUUCCUUCCCUUUACCACUAUAGCUUGCGCCACGGCUACAGCUUCCGUUUACAGUUUCCAUCAAAUUCAGCUCUGGUGGAUGCAUCUCUGCGAAAUCAUACCCACAACGCUUCCUCUUCUAUUGGGGUUCCCAUAUAUUAUCCACCAGACUUAUACGAUGUCUCGAAAAUCAGAGUUAAACAAAACCACAUCUUGAUUUAAUAAUUAAAAGGACAAAAGUACAUUCUUCAAUUUGGCGGGAAUGACCGGUAACAAAGGUCACCGGAAUCGCAGGUAGCCGGUUAGUCUCGCACGUGUGAGUAAGUCAAUAACCCUGGGUCGCAACAAGUUAUUGGGUCGCUUUCUCAUGGUUUGAACUUAAUUUUCUUGGGUCAAAUUCGUUAAGUUUAUGGGUAAAAAGGCCAAAAAUGUCACAGAUUGUUUCUCUUUCCACUAGGUAUGCAAACCGUAAAUUAAAACUUCCCGCGACCCAAGCCCAUAAUUAAAAACUUAACGCG
This 640-nucleotide long non-coding RNA is filed under the name Brassica napus (rape). Its description in RNAcentral is "long non-coding RNA (BNAP_LNC019090)". The record is from RNAcentral. Lineage: Eukaryota; Viridiplantae; Streptophyta; Magnoliopsida; Brassicales; Brassicaceae.